UCCUACUGAGCCAGGAAGCCUUCUUAUGUCGGCUUCCGGAGUAAAGGAACACACACCCACGUUCUCUGGGCCUGGAAAGUCAACUGCCCAAAGUUGUAGGGAUGCAUCCUAGGAUCCCGCAGUUGCUUUGCACAGCUUUGGGGGUUCCUCGCGUUUCUCUUUAAGGAAGCCUGUACAGGGUGUCUUCCCGCUCCCCAGGAGUUCCCUAAACCUGGUCUGACCAAGCCAUGCCUUUGGGAACCACUGAGGAACAGGUCCUGGUAUACAAGGAGACCAUGUGACUCUCAAGAUGUUCCUUUAGUGUGUUUGGGAAAGGGUGGGGCUGAAUUUUCUUGGGAGAGGGCUUCCAGGUAGCAUUUCCUGUGCCCUCCUAGGUGGUGUAGUGGAGCUGGGUGCACACUGGAUCCAUGGGCCCUCCCAGGGCAAUCCUGUCUUCCAGCUGGCUGCGGAGUUCGGGCUCCUGGGGGAGAAAGAAUUAUCGGAAGAGAACCAGCUGGUGGAGACAGGAGGGCACGUGGCCCUACCCUCCGUGAGCUGUACCAGUUCUGGAACAAGUGUGAGCCUGGAGCUGGUGACAGAGAUGGGCAGUUUGUUCUAUGGACUGAUAGACCGGACCCGAGAAUUCCUGAAUGAAUCGGAGACCCCAAUGGCCAGUGUUGGCGAGUUCUUGAAGAAGGAGAUAAGUCAGCAGGUGGCUA
Molecule: long non-coding RNA, 698 nt
Filed under: Rattus norvegicus (Norway rat)
Lineage: Eukaryota; Metazoa; Chordata; Mammalia; Rodentia; Muridae
Description: long non-coding RNA NONRATT001330
Source: RNAcentral